Molecule: unclassified non-coding RNA, 1415 nt
Filed under: Bartonella rattimassiliensis
Lineage: Bacteria; Pseudomonadati; Pseudomonadota; Alphaproteobacteria; Hyphomicrobiales; Bartonellaceae
Description: partial 16S-23S ribosomal RNA intergenic spacer
Rfam family: tRNA (bases 579-652)
Source: RNAcentral
UAGAGGCAAGGCAACCACGGUAGGGUCAGCGACUGGGGUGAAGUCGUAACAAGGUAGCCGUAGGGGAACCUGUGGCUGGAUCACCUCCUUUCUAAGGAUGAUCAAGAAUAGGGCUUUUUGAAAAAAUCCCUUCCUUUUUGAUCUGAUUAGACACAAAGUUUAAACUUAGUCAGUUUAAACUGUACAUAUGAUACUAACUCUUAACGAAUCCCUCUCACAAAAAAGAGAUCCCUCUUUAAAUCAUGAAGAGGAUCACCCCCCCUCUGUCUCUUUGAGGUUUCUACCUCCGUUGAGAAAAGUAUUUCAUGAGGGGUUAGUGCUCAUGUGUUAACAAUAUAAAAGCGGACGUGCCGUCUUCGUUUCUCUUUCUUCAGAUGAUGAUCCCAAGCCUUCUGGCGAUCUCUUAAAAUAAAGCCUUCCAUGUUUUUAACAAAUAUGGCCUUUAGACACCUCUUUAGAUUCUUAUGAAUAUUAAAGAUCAGGGGUUUGAAAAAAAGAGCUUUAACAAAGAAAGUAACUUAAAAAACUUUCCAUUGAUAUAAGAUGAUACCGGGGAAGGUUUUCCGGUUUGUUCCGGAGGGCUUGUAGCUCAGUUGGUUAGAGCGCGCGCUUGAUAAGCGUGAGGUCGGAGGUUCAAGUCCUCCCAGGCCCACCAAUUACUCUAUCAAUCUACGAGCGCUUGUGAAAUUUACUGAUAGGGAAUAUCCCUUAUCAAUUUUAAGAGAUUUACUUCUGCAAAAUUAUAUUCUCUCUUUUGUUUUAAAAUCCAAAUUUUUAAAAACUAAAGUUAAAGUGGUCUCAAGAUAAAACGGUGUUUUGAGGCAAAGUGCAAAAAAAAAUAACGAUUUAAGUGAUAAAUAGCGGUUUAAGUGAUCUUAAAUUUGAGUGUUUCAAGUGUGUUAUGUUUUUUAGGGGCCGUAGCUCAGCUGGGAGAGCACCUGCUUUGCAAGCAGGGGGUCGUCGGUUCGAUCCCGUCCGGCUCCACCAUUUGGUCAUCAUCAUGUUGUAAGAACACAUUUCCGUGAAGGAUUUAUGAAUCUUUCGCUUGUUCUAUUGAAAUUGUGAAGAGAAGGUAUAUUCAAACAUGUUCCUUUAGGUGUGUUUGUUCUCAAAAGCAGACUUUAUGCUGGAGAACAAUAACUUAAGAAAAGAAAUCUUAAAAAGAAACAUUGUGUCGCAAGGGAAUGCUCAAAGCCUUUGCUUAUGAUUGGAAGCUUAACCGCGCCAUUGAAUAUAUCUCGAGAAGCUGGUCUUUUCUGCUGAUAUUUUUGUUUGUUUUGCGCUUUGUUUUGCACAAGAUAAGGAAAAGCAGACAAACAGAUCAAUAGCCAAAUGACAAAGGAUUUAUGCUUUAUGCAUGAAGAAUUUUUAUUGGUAAAAUUGAAUGAAUAUUGGCAAUGAGAACGAUCAAGUGU